RNAcentral lists this long non-coding RNA (394 nucleotides) under Dasypus novemcinctus (nine-banded armadillo). RNAcentral's name for it is "lncRNA (ENSDNOG00000050955.1)". Lineage: Eukaryota; Metazoa; Chordata; Mammalia; Cingulata; Dasypodidae. The record is from RNAcentral.
GAGGACUAUUCCUUGAACUAAACAACUCCUUUUUUUAUUGUUUUUAUUUCCAGAACUAUCCCAGAAGUGGUUCCAGUAUUUGUUCACUUCCAUUUUUGGCCAAGAUAUGUCAGAAGAUUAAAUUCACUAUACAAAAUUCUGUGCCAUUCAAAGAUGUAGACUCAGACAAAUACAGUGUUUUUCCAGUAAGUAUUAUUACCAGAUAUUAUCUACAUAUUGCAUAGUUUUCUACACUUUACUUUAAUAAGAUGAGAUUGAGUUUCAUUUGAAUACAUUAUUAAUUUGAUGAACUGCAUACCAUUUUAUGAUUUUUAUGGACAUUUGGCAUCAUAAUAAUAUAUGGACCAUCAAAAUGAAUCUUAGGCUCAAAAAGUUUUUUUUAUUUUUUUCCAGC